CCCAGACUCCUACGGGAGGCAGCAGUGGGGGAUAUUGCACAAUGGGGGGAACCCUGAUGCAGCGACGCCGCGUGGGUGAAGGAGCGUUUCGGCGCGUAAAGCCCUAUCGGCAGGGAAGAAGGAGGACGGUACCUGACUAAGAAGCCCCGGCUAACUACGUGCCAGCAGCCGCGGUAAUACGUAGGGGGCAAGCGUUAUCCGGAUUUACUGGGUGUAAAGGGGGCGCAGACGGCAGCGCAAGCCAGGAGUGAAAGCCCGGGGCCCAACCCCGGGACUGCUCUUGGAACUGCGCGGCUGGAGUGCAGGAGGGGCAGGCGGAAUUCCUGGUGUAGCGGUGAAAUGCGUAGAUAUCAGGAGGAACACCGGUGGCGAAGGCGGCCUGCUGGACUGCAACUGACGUUGAGGCCCGAAAGCGUGGGGAGCAAACAGGAUUAGAUACCCUCGUAG
Molecule: ribosomal RNA, 447 nt
Filed under: uncultured bacterium
Lineage: Bacteria
Description: partial 16S ribosomal RNA
Rfam family: Bacterial small subunit ribosomal RNA
Source: RNAcentral